UACGGAGGGUGCGAGCGUUGUCCGGAAUCAUUGGGCGUAAAGGGCGCGUAGGUGGCCCGGUCAGUUCGUGGUGAAAGCGCGGGGCUCAACCCUGCGUCGGCCAUGAAUACUGCCGCGGCUGGAGCACUGUAGAGGCAGGCGGAAUUCCGGGUGUAGCGGUGGAAUGCGUAGAGAUCCGGAAGAACGACCGGUGGCGAAGGCGAACAUCCUGGACCGGUAUUGGACGCGUGAGGCGCGAAAGCCAGGG
This 247-nucleotide ribosomal RNA is filed under the name uncultured bacterium. RNAcentral describes it as "partial 16S ribosomal RNA". It matches the Rfam family "Bacterial small subunit ribosomal RNA", at positions 524 to 765 of the family's 1533-position model. The record is from RNAcentral.